Molecule: ribosomal RNA, 1291 nt
Filed under: marine metagenome
Description: bacterial LSU rRNA
Rfam family: Bacterial large subunit ribosomal RNA
Source: RNAcentral
ACUAAAGUUGAAAAAUUAGCGGAUGACUUGUGGCUAGGGGUGAAAGGCCAAUCAAACCUGGAGAUAGCUGGUUCUCCCCGAAAGCUAUUUAGGUAGCGCCUCGUGUCUCACCAUUGGGGGUAGAGCACUGUUUCGGCUAGGGGGUCAUCCCGACUUACCAAACCGAUGCAAACUCCGAAUACCUAUGAGUAUGAGCACGGGAGACAGACUGCGGGUGCUAACGUCCGUAGUCGAGAGGGAAACAACCCAGACUGUCAGCUAAGGUCCCUAAUUAUGAUUAAGUGGGAAACAAUGUGGGAAGGCACAAACAGCUAGGAGGUUGGCUUAGAAGCAGCCACCCUUUAAAGAAAGCGUAAUAGCUCACUAGUCGAGUCGGCCUGCGUGGAAGAUAUAACGGGGCUAAAUCAUAAACCGAAGCUACAGAUCUUGUUUCAAGAUGGUAGAAGAGCGUUCUGUAAGCCGCUGAAGGUAAGCUGUGAGGCGAACUGGAGGUAUCAGAAGUGCGAAUGUUGACAUGAGUAACGAUCAAAGAGGUGAAAAACCUCUUCGCCGAAAAACCAAGGGUUCCUGUCCAACGCUAAUCGAGGCAGGUUGAGUCGGCUCCUAAGACGAGGGCGAAAGCCGUAGUCGAUGGGAAACAGGUUAAUAUUCCUGUACUUUUUACAAUUGCGAUGGGGUGACGGAGAAGGUUAAGUCAGCACGGCGAUGGUUGUCCGUGUUCAAGAUUGUAGGCCGAUGUUUUAGGUAAAUCCGGAACAUUAAAGCUGAGGAUUGAUAACGACCACUUUAUAAGUGGGAAGUGGCUGAUACCAUGCUUCCAGGAAAAACCUCUAAGCUUCAGAUUGUAAGAAACCGUACCCUAAACCGACACAGGUGGUUAGGUCGAGUAGACCAAGGUGUUUGAGAGAACUAUGGUGAAGGAACUAGGCAAAAUAGCACCGUAACUUCGGGAGAAGGUGCGCCGCGUUUGGUGACAGGACUUGCUCUUAGAGCUGAACGUGGUCGAAGAUACCAGGUGGCUGCGACUGUUUAUUAAAAACAUAGCACUCUGCAAACUCGUAAGAGGACGUAUAGGGUGUGACGCCUGCCCGGUGCCGGAAGGUUAAUUGAUGGGGUUAGCUUUUGCGAAGCUCUUGAUAGAAGCCCCGGUAAACGGCGGCCGUAACUAUAACGGUCCUAAGGUAGCGAAAUUCCUUGUCGGGUAAGUUCCGACCUGCACGAAUGGCGUAACGAUGGCCACACUGUCUCCACCAUAGACUCAGUGAAAUUGAAAUCGCUGUUAAGAUGCAGU